UGCAUCUGGAAGUGUCCUGUUGCCCAACCU
RNAcentral lists this non-coding RNA (30 nucleotides) under Mus musculus (house mouse). RNAcentral also lists the same sequence under 1 other name. The record is from RNAcentral. Lineage: Eukaryota; Metazoa; Chordata; Mammalia; Rodentia; Muridae.